Molecule: non-coding RNA, 40 nt
Filed under: Trypanosoma vivax
Lineage: Eukaryota; Euglenozoa; Kinetoplastea; Trypanosomatida; Trypanosomatidae
Source: RNAcentral
AGGUUAUAAUUAACAACUCAAUAAACUAUGAAGCUAUGAU